GCGGAUGGCUGGAUGACCGCGUGUAUCGUCAGAUAUGCGAGGAAAGUCCGGACUCCAUAAGGCAAGGGUGCCGGGUAACGCCCGGCUGGGGUAACCCAAGGGAAAGCGCCACAGAAAAGAAACUGCCCAGCAUGCUGGGUGAUGGUGAAACGGUGGGGUAAGAGCCCACCGCGGGUCUGGUAACAGAACUGGCACGGCAAGCCCCACCCGGAGCAAUGCCAAAUAGGGGCCUUACGUGGGCUGGUCUGGCAACAGAUACCGCCACAGUUUGCUUUAAACCUGAGGCCCGGGUUGGUAGCUAGAUCUUCUUGGCAACAAGAAGACCAGAGGAAUGGUCAUCCAAGGGGGGAACCCCUGGACAAAAUCCGGCUUAUAGGCUGUCCGCGCGC
Cryomorphaceae bacterium is the source of this 389-nucleotide non-coding RNA. Lineage: Bacteria; Pseudomonadati; Bacteroidota; Flavobacteriia; Flavobacteriales; Cryomorphaceae. The record is from Rfam.